Molecule: RNA transcript, 1806 nt
Organism: Anas platyrhynchos (mallard)
Lineage: Eukaryota; Metazoa; Chordata; Aves; Anseriformes; Anatidae
Gene: VRK3
Gene name: VRK serine/threonine kinase 3
Source: RefSeq, a predicted model, not a curated record
CCCCCAGCCUCGCGCAUGCCCGUGCCGGGCCGCAGCGGCUCCUCGCGGGCCCUCAGCGGCGGGGCUGCGGCGAUGCCGGGCCGCGGGCGGCGGGGCCGGGGCCGCGCUGCGGGGCCGCAGCAGAGCCCGGCUCCAGCUCCGGCUCCGGCUCCGGCUCCGGCUCCGGCUCCCGGCUGUGCCCUCGGGCCCGCCCGCUUCUGCCCGCAGUGCGGCCGCGGCGUGGAGGCCGCCUUCAGGUUCUGCCCGGCCUGCGGGGAGCGGCAGCCGCCGGCCCCAGGGGAAGCAGCGGCGGCGGCCCCGGCACCGUGGCAGGCCCGGAGCCCCGCGGCCGGGCCCGGCUCCGGCUCCUCGUCCCCCUCGGGGGCCUCCCGGCCGCCCCCGCCCCGGUCCCCGUCCCUGUCCCCGGCGGCGAAGCGCGGCUCCUUCUCGCCCCGCAAGCCGCGGGCGGUGGCGGCGGUGCCGUUCCCGGAGGCCGAGGUGCUGGAGGAUCACGGCAAGAGGCGCUGGAGGCUGGGCCGGCUGCUGGAGCACGGCGGGCCCGGGCUGAUGUACGAAGCACAGUCAGCAUCUGGAGCCUGUCCUCAAAAGCAAAGAUUCUCCCUCAAACUUGAUGCCAAAGAUGGCAAGAUCUACAACGAACAGAACUUUUUCCAGCGAGCUGCAAAGAAAGACACAGUGGAUAAGUGGAAGAAGCUACACUCUUUGCCCCUGCUGGGAAUCCCCAAUUGUGUUGGCUUUGGACUGCAUGCAGAUAAAUACAGGUUUUUGGUGUUCUCAGACUUAGGGCGAACUCUUCACUCCAUCCUGAAUGAUGGCGUACGCCUGAAUGAGAAGGCAGCUUUUCAGAUCGUAGUCCGGCUGCUAGACUGCCUGGAGUACCUUCAUGAAAAUGAGUAUGUGCAUGGGGACAUCACGGCUGAGAACAUCUACGUGAACCCAGAAGACCUCACGCAGGUGACCCUAGCGGGCUACUGCUUUGCAUUCCGUUACUGCCCAGGAGGGAAGCACGUGGCUCAGCGCGAAGGCAGCAGGACCCCUCACGAAGGCACGAUAGAGUUUAUCAGUCUGGACAGCCACAGGGGAGCAGGACCAUCUCGACGGAGUGACUUGGAAUCUCUGGGCUACUGUCUCCUGAAAUGGCUCUGUGGCUUCUUGCCUUGGUCUCAUGAUCUGAAGAACGUGGAAGCUGUGGUGGAGAAGAAAGAAAAGUACAAAGCAGAUGUGACGUGCCUUCUCCGACAGUGCUUCAUGGGGCAGAGAGCAAUUCCAGGUGUGGGCUUGCUUUCCUGCGGGCUUCUUGUGGAGGGAGGAUUGACUGUACUUGAGAUGCCCUUCAGCGCUACCUGCAGCAAGUAAUGGCACUGGAGUAUGAGGAGAAGCCCAACUAUGAGUUCCUGCGGCAGCUCUUCAAAAAGCCACUGGAGAAGAUGAAAGCAUCAGCUUACGACUCCGUGGCCAUCACGAUAGUGCCCUAAAUCAAGGAAACUUGGACUGGAAAACAGAGUUCAAAGCUUUCUGCAGUGUGAGCCCCUUUUCAGAAGACAUUUAACUUUUACCUACCUGGUUUAGCGAAAGACUUUUUAAAGGCAUUUUCCUCUAAUUUUAAUGUAACGUGCUACUGAAUGCUGAGCCACUGCUGUAAGAAGCUACUGUGAAGAUGCUCCUGCGUGGCAAGUUAGUGUAAACAGCUGGAGAAGUGCACUCUAGCCACCAGGAGAAGGGCACAAAGAAACUAAAUCAGGGACUUUUUUAAGUGACAACAGUGGCAGUACGUUGUUUUAUAAUAAACUUUAGACAAGCACCUAA